GGGUUGUGAGGUUAAGCGACUAAGCGUACACGGUGGAUGCCCUGGCAGUCAGAGGCGAUGAAGGGCGUGCUAAUCUGCGAUAAGCGCCGGUAAGGUGAUAUGAACCGUUAUAACCGGCGAUACCCGAAUGGGGAAACCCAGUGUGACUCGUCACACUAUCAUUAACUGAAUCCAUAGGUUAAUGAGGCGAACCGGGGGAACUGAAACAUCUAAGUACCCCGAGGAAAAGAAAUCAACCGAGAUUCCCCCAGUAGCGGCGAGCGAACGGGGAGGAGCCCAGAGCCUGAAUCAGUAUGUGUGUUAGUGGAAGCGUCUGGAAAGGCGCGCGAUACAGGGUGACAGCCCCGUACACAAAAGCGCAUAUGCUGUGAGCUCGAUGAGUAGGGCGGGACACGUGGUAUCCUGUCUGAAUAUGGGGGGACCAUCCUCCAAGGCUAAAUACUCCUGACUGACCGAUAGUGAACCAGUACCGUGAGGGAAAGGCGAAAAGAACCCCGGCGAGGGGAGUGAAAAAGAACCUGAAACCGUGUACGUACAAGCAGUGGGAGCACCCUUCGGGGUGUGACUGCGUACCUUUUGUAUAAUGGGUCAGCGACUUAUAUUCUGUAGCAAGGUUAACCGUAUAGGGGAGCCGGAGGGAAACCGAGUCUUAACCGGGCGUUAAGUUGCAGGGUAUAGACCCGAAACCCGGUGAUCUAGCCAUGGGCAGGUUGAAGGUUGGGUAACACUAACUGGAGGACCGAACCGACUAAUGUUGAAAAAUUAGCGGAUGACCUGUGGCUGGGGGUGAAAGGCCAAUCAAACCGGGAGAUAGCUGGUUCUCCCCGAAAGCUAUUUAGGUAGCGCCUCGUGAACUCAUCUCCGGGGGUAGAGCACUGUUUCGGCUAGGGGGCCAUCCCGGCUUACCAACCCGAUGCAAACUGCGAAUACCGGAGAAUGUUAUCACGGGAGACACACGGCGGGUGCUAACGUCCGUCGUGAAGAGGGAAACAACCCAGACCGCCAGCUAAGGUCCCAAAGUCAUGGUUAAGUGGGAAACGAUGUGGGAAGGCCCAGACAGCCAGGAUGUUGGCUUAGAAGCAGCCAUCAUUUAAAGAAAGCGUAAUAGCUCACUGGUCGAGUCGGCCUGCGCGGAAGAUGUAACGGGGCUAAACCAUGCACCGAAGCUGCGGCAGCGAACGUAUCACUUAAAGCGAUUCAGCGGGUUACGAUUGACGGAGCGAAGCGACGUCAAAGCGUAUACAAAGUCGAGUCGGUUUAAGGAUACGUUCGUUGGGUAGGGGAGCGUUCUGUAAGCCUGUGAAGGUGUGUCGUGAGGCAUGCUGGAGGUAUCAGAAGUG
RNAcentral lists this ribosomal RNA (1340 nucleotides) under Salmonella enterica. RNAcentral's name for it is "partial 23S ribosomal RNA". It matches the Rfam family "Bacterial large subunit ribosomal RNA", at positions 1 to 1290 of the family's 2925-position model. The record is from RNAcentral. Lineage: Bacteria; Pseudomonadati; Pseudomonadota; Gammaproteobacteria; Enterobacterales; Enterobacteriaceae.